This 460-nucleotide ribosomal RNA is filed under the name uncultured bacterium. RNAcentral's name for it is "partial 16S ribosomal RNA". It matches the Rfam family "Bacterial small subunit ribosomal RNA", at positions 338 to 795 of the family's 1533-position model. The record is from RNAcentral.
CCUACGGGUGGCAGCAGUGAGGAAUAUUGGUCAAUGGUCGCGAGACUGAACCAGCCAAGUCGCGUGAGGGAUGACGGCCCUACGGGUUGUAAACCUCUUUUGCCGGGGAGCAAAGGGCGCCACGUGUGGCGUCACUGAGAGUCCCCGGGGAAAAGGCAUCGGCUAACUCCGUGCCAGCAGCCGCGGUAAGACGUAGGAUGCGAGCUUUAGCCGGAUUUUUUGGGUUUAAGGGAGGCGUAGGCGGAUCGUUAAGUCGGUGUGCAACGUGAUGGGCUCAACAGCUCCCCGCGAUGGAAACUGGCGUGCUUGAGUGGAAGAGACGUAUGCGGAAUGCGUGGUGUAGCGGUGAAAUGCAUAGAUAUCACGAAGAACACCGAUUGCGAAGGCAGCAUGCCGGCGUCCGACUGACGCUGAAGCACGAAGGCGCGGGGAUCGAACAGGAUUAGAUACCCGUGUAGUC